This 385-nucleotide long non-coding RNA is filed under the name Helianthus annuus (common sunflower). Its description in RNAcentral is "hypothetical non coding rna". The record is from RNAcentral. Lineage: Eukaryota; Viridiplantae; Streptophyta; Magnoliopsida; Asterales; Asteraceae.
GCUUCUACGCGUGCGCGCGAGAGACACACUUGUGUGCGCGCGCAAGUCUGCACGCUCAUGCGCCACACUGGCUCAAUUCCAUACGCGCCUAUGCCACGUCACCUGUGAGCCUAUACGAGCACGCCACACAGUCGAGCCGUAUUGACUCACUUUGGUGCGCCACGCACGUCACAUCAGUGUCCAUGCUCCAUGCGCACAACCGCGCGCCUACCUGCCAUGUGUACUCGCGCGCGGACGUGCUAGACUGCCACGUCAUGCGCCUCGUACCCAUGCGCCUGCAUGCCACGUCACCAACCUGCCAUGUGUACUCGAGCAAAGUGCGCCACAUUACGCCUCAUCGCCCACGCCGCGCGCGCGAGUUAGGGUGCUCCGCACCUUUCGCGAG